RNAcentral lists this non-coding RNA (776 nucleotides) under Drosophila virilis. Its description in RNAcentral is "Eukaryotic large subunit ribosomal RNA". It matches the Rfam family "Eukaryotic large subunit ribosomal RNA", at positions 1 to 646 of the family's 3401-position model. The record is from Rfam by way of RNAcentral. Lineage: Eukaryota; Metazoa; Arthropoda; Insecta; Diptera; Drosophilidae.
CAACCUCAACUCAUAUGGGACUACCCCCUGAAUUUAAGCAUAUUAAUUAGGGGAGGAAAAGAAACUAACAAGGAUUUUCUUAGUAGCGGCGAGCGAAAAGAAAUCAGUUCAGCACUAAGUCACUUUGUCUAUAUGGCAAAUGUGAGAUGCAGUGUACGGAACAUCAACAUUCUAGUAUGAGAAGUUAACGAUUUAAGUCCUUCUUAAAUGAGGCCAUUUACCCAUAGAGGGUGCCAGGCCCGUAUAACGUUAAUGAUUACUAGAUGGUGUUUCCAAAGAGUCGUGUUGCUUGAUAGUGCAGCACUAAGUGGGUGGUAAACUCCAUCUAAAACUAAAUAUAACCAUGAGACCGAUAGUAAACAAGUACCGUGAGGGAAAGUUGAAAAGAACUCUGAAUAGAGAGUUAAAUAGUACGUGAAACUGCUUAGAGGUUAAGCCCGAUGAACCUGAAUAUCCGUUAUGGAAAAUUCAUCAUUAGAAUUGUAAUAUUUUAAACAAUAUUAUAAUAAUAGUGUGCAUUUUUUCCAUAUAAGGACAUUGUAAUCUAUUAGCAUAAAUAUUUAUCAUAAAAUUAUGUCUGAUUGCUUAUUUGAAUUAUAUGCUUGGCAUUUUAACAUAAAAUAAAAGAUAUAAAUUUGAUAAAGUGCUGAUAGAUUUAUAUGAUUACAGUGCGUUAAUUUUUCGGAAUUAUAUAAUGGCAUAAUUAUCAUUGAUAUUUGUGUUUAUUAUAUGCAUUUGUAUGAUUAACAAUGCGAACGAUUCAGGAUACCUUCGGG